CAGCUCUGUUGGAUAUUCCUUGCUGAUCAAGAAGGAGAAAGCAAUCAAAGUGCAUCCUAAUCGUGUGACUGUAGGCAACGGCCCUUCCUUUGGCUGGGUAUUUAUGGCUGACUUCUUAAGUGCAUUGGCCAAGAAGUUGAAAAAGAACAGCACAGCCAUGGAAAAUUACAGACGUAUCUUUGUACCUCCAGGUGUCCCUCUGAAGAGUGAGAAAGAUGAACCCCUUAGGGUCAACAUACUCUUCAAGCACAUUCAGCAAAUGCUAAGUGGAGAACACUGCAGUAAUUUCUGAAACUGGAGAUUCUUGGUUCAACUGUCAGAAACUUCGCCUUCCCGAGAAUUGUGGGUAUGAAUUCCAGAUGCAGUAUGGAUCUAU
Molecule: unclassified non-coding RNA, 376 nt
Filed under: Hevea brasiliensis (rubber tree)
Lineage: Eukaryota; Viridiplantae; Streptophyta; Magnoliopsida; Malpighiales; Euphorbiaceae
Source: RNAcentral